UUUCAAAGCGCCAUGGUUUCCAUGUCGCGUUGUAGACUGAAGGGGCGCUAUCUUGCGCGGCCCGGGUAUAGAUCCGUUGGAACGCGGUAUCAUAGAGGGUGAGAAUCCCGUCCGUGACCCGGUGUCCGUGCAUGUACGUUGCGCUUCCAAAGAGUCGGGUUGUUUGGGAAUGCAGCCCAAAAUGGGUGGUAAAUUUCAUCUAAGGCUACAUAUGGGCACGAGACCGAUAGCGAACAAGUACCAUGAGGGAAAGAUGAAAAGCACUUUGAAAAGAGAGUCAAAAAGUACGUGAAACCGUUAAAGGGGAAACGAAUGGGGCUAGCAUUUGCGCCUGCCAUGAUCAGCCAGACGUCCCGAAGCCACGUGGGGGUGGAGAGCGCCUCGUGCGCCUGUUUCCCACGUGUUCGGAGGAGGCGGCUGGUGCACUUGUGGCCGGCGCAGGCCAACAUCGGUUCGGGCAUGGGACAGACACCUCGGGGGAAGGUGGUUGAGGCGCUUCGGCGUCGCAACGUUAUAACCCCCGUCGAAUCUCAAAGUCCUGGCCCGGACCGAGGAGCAGCAGCGCGAUAACCUCGGAGAGCCACCGCUCGGUCCGGCGAGGGUAGGGGACUGUCCUCCACGAGAGGCAGUGCCAUGCCCUCCGCAGGUCGAAAACGCGGGCCUACCCAGAACACGCGCUUGUGAUGUUGGCGAAAUGGCUUCAUCCGACCCGUCUUGAAACACGGACCAAGGAGUCUAACAUAUACGCGAGCCAUAGGGUGGAAAGCUCCAGUGGCGCAAUGAAAGUGAAGGUGCACAUGGUGUACUGAGGUGAGAGCCUUUCCGAACAUGUUUGCGGGGGGCGCAUCAUCGACCGAUCCGGAUGGUUUCCUGAAAGAUUCGAGUAAGAGCGUAUCUGUUGGGACCCGAAAGAUGGUGAACUAUGCCUGAACAGGGUGAAGUCUGAGGAAACUCAGAUGGAAGCUCGUAGCGAUUCUGACGUGCAAAUCGAUCGUCUGAUUUGGGUAUAGGGGCGAAAGACUAAUCGAACCAUCUAGUAGCUGGUUCCCUCCGAAGUUUCCCUCAGGAUAGCUGGAACUACCGAGCAGUUUUAUCAGGUAAAGCGAAUGACUAGAGGCCUUGGGGUUGAAAUAACCUCAACCUAUUCUCAAACUUUAAAUAGGUAAGAAGCCUGGCUUGCUUAACUGAAGCCAGGCACUGAAUGCAAAGUUCCAAGUGGGCCAUUUUUGGUAAGCAGAACUGGCGAUGCGGGAUGAACCGAACGCGAAGUUAAAGUGCCAAAGUUCACGCUCACCUAGAACCCAGAAAAGGUGUUGGCUGAUGAAGACAGCAGGACGGUGGCCAUGGAAGUCGGAACCCGCUAAGGAGUGUGUAACAACUCACCUGCCGAAUCAGCCAGCCCUGAAAAUGGAUGGCGCUCAAGCGUGACGCUUAUACUUCGCCGUUGCCGUAAGAGACUCCAACUUUACCGCAACGAGUAGGAGGGCGUGGAGGUCGUGAAGCAGCUUAGGGCGCGAGCCUGAGCGAAACGGCC
RNAcentral lists this ribosomal RNA (1534 nucleotides) under Eccrinidus flexilis. RNAcentral describes it as "eukaryotic LSU rRNA". It matches the Rfam family "Eukaryotic large subunit ribosomal RNA", at positions 114 to 1437 of the family's 3401-position model. Lineage: Eukaryota; Ichthyosporea; Ichthyophonida; Eccrinaceae. The record is from RNAcentral.